RNAcentral lists this ribosomal RNA (451 nucleotides) under uncultured bacterium. RNAcentral describes it as "bacterial SSU rRNA". It matches the Rfam family "Bacterial small subunit ribosomal RNA", at positions 340 to 786 of the family's 1533-position model. The record is from RNAcentral.
UACGGGAGGCAGCAGUAGGGAAUAUUGGGCAAUGGGCGAGAGCCUGACCCAGCCAUGCCGCGUGCAGGAAGAAGGCUUUCUGAGUCGUAAACUGCUUUUGACAGGGAAGAAUAAGCUGGUCGUGACCAGUGAUGACGGUACCUGCAGAAUAAGCACCGGCUAACUCCGUGCCAGCAGCCGCGGUAAUACGGAGGGUGCGAGCGUUGUCCGGAUUUAUUGGGUUUUAAAGGGUGCGUAGGCGGCCCGUUAAGUCCGGGGUGAAAGCCCGCUGCUCAACAGCGGAACUGCCCUGGAUACUGACGGGCUUGAGUACAGACGAGGUUGGCGGAAUGGACUGAGUAGCGGUGAAAUGCAUAGAUACAGUCCAGAACCCCGAUUGCGAAGGCAGCUGACUAGGCUGUUACUGACGCUGAGGCACGAAAGCGUGGGGAGCGAACAGGAUUAAGAUACC